AUAUCUGUGUGCAUUGGCUGUUUGUUUCGUCCUUUUCAUUGUGGGUGUCAAUGCCUACGAAGAUGUGAGCUGUCUUCGUCUACUCUGUGCCGUAGGAUUAGGUAGAUGUUGAUUUUUGAUGGCUGUGUGCCGUUGGAUUAGGGUGGCAGUGGUUUUGAUGGGAUGGCCAACCCAACCCAACCCAACCCAACCCGGUCCCCCAGCAUUAUUGAAAAUAUCUCUCCCCCUAUUGCGGCUGCUAAAUUGGGCGACGAAUAAUUGUGCAAUGGAAUGAUCCCGGUGGCUGUGAUGGCGGAUCUGGUGGAGUACACGGUGGUGCUGUCUCGUUUGGUCGAGCGCAUGCUGCAGGAUGCUCAGCUGCUGCACUUUCUCAGACGAGAUGCACGUAAUGCCCCCCGUGCGGCCUCUACCCGUCCCGCCUCUGCAGUGGUGCUGGCUCCAUUCGCGUAGCCAGCUGCCGAGUAAUAUCUUCUUCGUGGUUUCACGUUUUUUUUUGUUAUGUGUGUGUUCUUGGAUUUGCGUUUUGUGUCUAUAUGCAAUGUUUGUUACAUGUUACCCUUUUAAAACAAGAGUUCAUGAAGGUUCGAAAA
This is a long non-coding RNA of Andrographis paniculata, 590 nucleotides long. RefSeq lists it as uncharacterized. NCBI's taxonomy places the organism in Eukaryota, Viridiplantae, Streptophyta, Magnoliopsida, Lamiales, Acanthaceae. The record is from RefSeq and is a predicted model, not a curated record. The transcript is spliced from 2 exons.